This 771-nucleotide ribosomal RNA is filed under the name uncultured Neocallimastigales. RNAcentral describes it as "partial large subunit ribosomal RNA". It matches the Rfam family "Eukaryotic large subunit ribosomal RNA", at positions 22 to 646 of the family's 3401-position model. The record is from RNAcentral. Lineage: Eukaryota; Fungi; Neocallimastigomycota; Neocallimastigomycetes; Neocallimastigales.
GUACACGCUGUGACUAGCAUAUCAAUAAGCGGAGGAAAAGAAACUAACAAGGAUUCCCUCAGUAACGGCGAGUGAAGCGGGAAGAGCUCAAAUUUGAAAUCUUGAAAGGUCACCUUUCACGAAUUGUAGUUUAAAGAAGUGUUUCCUGUUACGAUCGUAAUAUAAGUUCUUUGGAAUAGGACAUCACAGAGGGUGAGAAUCCCGUCUAUGAUUGCGAUUUGUAGCUUUGUGAUACACUUUCAAAGAGUCGGGUUGUUUGGGAAUGCAGCCCAAAACGGGAGGUAAAUUUCUUCUAAGGCUAAAUAUUGGCGAGAGACCGAUAGCGAACAAGUACCGUGAGGGAAAGAUGAAAAGAACUUUGAAAAGAGAGUUAAAUAGUACGUGAAAUUGUCAAAAGGGAAGCGUUUAACACCAGUGUUGUUUUCUGAAAAUCAACCUCUGUUAGCUUUAUGCAUGUUUGUUUAGACCUAAUCAGCUAUCUUGCAUGUUCUAUUGUUUGCAGUGGUGCACUUUUCAGUUUACAGGUCAACAUCAGUUUUUUUUACCGUAAAAAAGUUAAAGAAAGGUAGCUCAUGGCUCCGGUCGUGAGUGUUAUAGUCUUUUUCCUAUGCGGUAGGAGAGACUGAGGUCUGCAGUGUAGGCUAUUUGGCUAGAUACUCAGGUGCUAUGUGAUACCAUUUCAUAAACAACUUGUUGAUUAUGUUUUGUCUAUUGCAUACUCGCUUGUACUAUCAUACCUACGCUUAGGAUGUUGAGUAGCGACAUACGCAC